This 471-nucleotide ribosomal RNA is filed under the name uncultured bacterium. Its description in RNAcentral is "SSU rRNA". It matches the Rfam family "Bacterial small subunit ribosomal RNA", at positions 26 to 518 of the family's 1533-position model. The record is from RNAcentral.
AGGACGAACGCUUGCGACGUGCCUGAGAAAUGCAAGUCGAGCGGGUGGAAGGCUUCGGUUUUCCAUUAGCGGCGAACGGUCGAGUAACACGUAACCGACCUGCCUUCGGGUCUGGGAUAGCCCGUCGAAAGACGGCGUAAUACCGGAUGGUCUCAACGGGACGCAUGUUUUGUUGAGUAAAGGCUAGUAUGCCCGAAGAGGGGGUUGCGGCCUAUCAGCUGGUUGGCGGGGUAACGGCCCACCAAGGCGACGACGGGUAGCUGGUCUGAGAGGAUGGCCAGCCGGAUUGGGACUGAGACACGGCCCAAACUCCUACGGGGGGCAGCAAUCAGGAAUCUUGCGCAAUGGGGGCAACCCUGACGCAGCGACGUCGCGUGGAGGAAGACGGCCUUCGGUUGUAACUCCUUUACCAGGAAGAGCAAGGACGGUACCUGGUGAAUAAGCCCCGGCUAACUCCGCGCCAGCAGCCGC